UUAAAGACGGGUUACAGUCCGUGCUGCGCAUGUGCGAUUCUUUUUGUUUUGGUAGACUACUUAUCUUUCGUUUCCAUGGUUUCCAGUCCGAUUGCGUAAUAUACGCGCGAUUCUAUAUUUGUUGAUACAAGGAGUGGGAAUACACAGUUUCGAAGAGAUUUUCAACGAUUUGUGACUUUUAUGAAGUGAAAUCCGAUUAAUAACAAAUCAUUGAAACAAUAUGAGAAGAAGGAAAGAAUAUUACGCCAACAAGGAUGCCUUUAAAGUGUGUUUAUUUGAAAUUCAGUCAAGCGCUUCGCCAUGUCGUACAUAUAAAGGUAAAUAUUUGUUUAAUACAUUUGAUUAUUUCGUUCUCCUGAGUCGAGACUGGAUCUCUAAUUCGCUGUGAAUUUGUGACAAUUUUUAAGCUAGG
Paramuricea clavata is the source of this 412-nucleotide non-coding RNA. The record is from the annotation of a GenBank genome assembly. NCBI's taxonomy places the organism in Eukaryota, Metazoa, Cnidaria, Anthozoa, Malacalcyonacea, Plexauridae.